RNAcentral lists this RNase P RNA (251 nucleotides) under Leptolyngbyaceae cyanobacterium SL_5_9. Its description in RNAcentral is "partial RNase P RNA component class A". It matches the Rfam family "Bacterial RNase P class A", at positions 144 to 367 of the family's 367-position model. From Rfam's summary of the family: Ribonuclease P (RNase P) is a ubiquitous endoribonuclease, found in archaea, bacteria and eukarya as well as chloroplasts and mitochondria. The record is from RNAcentral. Lineage: Bacteria; Bacillati; Cyanobacteriota; Cyanophyceae; Leptolyngbyales; Leptolyngbyaceae.
ACAGGUAAGGGUGCAAGGGUGCGGUAAGAGCGCACCAGCAGCGUCGAGAGGCGCUGGCUCGGUAAACCCCGGUUGGGAGCAAGGUCGAAGGAGCAACGGUUGGUCUUUUUCCGGCUCCGGGUAGAAAUGGUGAAUCCAUUUCUGCGAAACCCGCUAGAGGUGUCUGGCAACAGACAUCCCAGAUAGAUAACUGCCCUUCUAGCAGUUCUUCUGCUAAAAGAACAGAACCCGGCUUAUGUCCGACUCUUCCC